RNAcentral lists this unclassified non-coding RNA (254 nucleotides) under Hevea brasiliensis (rubber tree). Lineage: Eukaryota; Viridiplantae; Streptophyta; Magnoliopsida; Malpighiales; Euphorbiaceae. The record is from RNAcentral.
AAAAAAAAAAAAAAUUUAAAUAAUAAAAAAAACCCAUAAGUGGAAAUGCCAACAACGGGACGUCGCGGGGACCACCGCGCGUGAAUUGCACCUCCGGUGGAGAUUGGCGUCAGCACAUACAGCGGCCUUCCCCAGCAGUUAUCCAGUACCGGAUAACCAUUGCUAAAAUAGGGAUUUAAAAGACAAGAAAAUCCGUUUUAAAACCUUUAAUUACUAUUUGUUGUUUUUUCCGCUCUUGAAAGCUACCAAUAAGU